CAGCAGCCGCGGGAAUACGUAGGUGGCAAGCGUUGUCCGGAAUUAUUGGGCGUAAAGGGCUCGCAGGCGGUUUCUUAAGUCUGAUGUGAAAGCCCCCGGCUCAACCGGGGAGGGUCAUUGGAGACUGGGAAACUUGAGUGCAGAAGAGGAGAGUGGAAUUCCACGUGUAGCGGUGAAAUGCGUAGAGAUGUGGAGGAACACCAGUGGCGAAGGCGACUCUCUGGUCUGUAACUGACGCUGAGGAGCGAAAGCGUGGGGAGCAAACAGGAUUAGAUACCCCAGUAGUCCCUGUCUCUUAUAA
RNAcentral lists this ribosomal RNA (301 nucleotides) under uncultured bacterium. RNAcentral's name for it is "partial 16S ribosomal RNA". It matches the Rfam family "Bacterial small subunit ribosomal RNA", at positions 509 to 809 of the family's 1533-position model. The record is from RNAcentral.